RNAcentral lists this ribosomal RNA (427 nucleotides) under uncultured beta proteobacterium. RNAcentral's name for it is "bacterial SSU rRNA". It matches the Rfam family "Bacterial small subunit ribosomal RNA", at positions 355 to 774 of the family's 1533-position model. Lineage: Bacteria; Pseudomonadati; Pseudomonadota; Betaproteobacteria. The record is from RNAcentral.
UGGGGAAUUUUGGACAAUGGGCGAAAGCCUGAUCCAGCCAUGCCGCGUGAGUGAAGAAGGCCUUCGGGUUGUAAAGCUCUUUUAGUCGGAAAGAAAAGAUCAUAAUGAACAAUUAUGAUUCAUGACGGUACCGACAGAAAAAGCACCGGCUAACUACGUGCCAGCAGCCGCGGUAAUACGUAGGGUGCGAGCGUUAAUCGGAAUUACUGGGCGUAAAGGGUGCGCAGGCGGUUUUGUAAGUCAGAUGUGAAAUCCCCGGGCUUAGCCUGGGAAUUGCGUUUGAAACUGCAAGACUAGAGUGCAGCAGAGGGGAGUGGAAUUCCAUGUGUAGCAGUGAAAUGCGUAGAGAUGUGGAAGAACACCGAUGGCGAAGGCAGCUCCCUGGGUUGACACUGACGCUCAUGCACGAAAGCGUGGGGAGCAAACA